UGGGUUUCUCACAACCAAAUUGCCAAAAAUGAGCAUGGAUGGUUCCAUUUAAUGCUCUUCUCAAGUAAAAUGAAGGAUCAGUACACUACUUGCAUUACAUUUGGGGUGUUUUGUUCAAUUUUA
This is a long non-coding RNA of Etheostoma spectabile (orangethroat darter), 123 nucleotides long. RefSeq lists it as uncharacterized. NCBI's taxonomy places the organism in Eukaryota, Metazoa, Chordata, Actinopteri, Perciformes, Percidae. The transcript is spliced from 3 exons. The record is from RefSeq and is a predicted model, not a curated record.